This 66-nucleotide microRNA precursor is filed under the name Marmota monax (woodchuck). It matches the Rfam family "mir-1255 microRNA precursor family". Lineage: Eukaryota; Metazoa; Chordata; Mammalia; Rodentia; Sciuridae. The record is from RNAcentral.
UCUCAAGGAUGAGCAAAGAAAGUGGUUUCUUAAGAUGGAAUCUACUUCUGAUGAAGGUCCUGUGAA